RNAcentral lists this long non-coding RNA (1262 nucleotides) under Mytilus galloprovincialis (Mediterranean mussel). The record is from RNAcentral. Lineage: Eukaryota; Metazoa; Mollusca; Bivalvia; Mytilida; Mytilidae.
UUUACUAUUACACAAUAUUUGUUUUUCCCUCACUUGUUAUGCAAAAAGAUCUUUUUUUGCAAUUCUGACUAUUUUGUUUCUUUGUCGAUGUCGUGAUGUCCUAAUGCAAUAGCUUGAGAAACCUAUUACUUUAGUUUUAUAUGUUGCGAUUUUGUAAAACACCCUCAAUAUUCAGUUUACCCACCGAGAAUCACAGUUAUGUUGUUGUUGCUUAUUCUUUAGUUUUCUAUGUUGUGUCAUGUCAACUAUUGUUUGUCUGUUUGGCUUUGUCAGUUUUAGCCAUGGCGUUGUCAGUUUUGUUUUAGAUUUCAUGAGUUUGAGUGUCCUUCUUGUAUCUUUCGUCCCUCUUUUGGCUUUUUAACUUUUUUGAUCUGAGCGUCACUGAUGAGUCUUAUGUAGACGAAACGCGCGUCUGGGUAUAAAAUUAUAAUCCUGGUACUUUUGAUAACUGUUAUUAUAGUUGAAUGUCUUAAUAAUCAAUAUUCAGCAGAAGUUUUACCGUGUUUUUAACCCAGUCAAAACGACCAAAGUGAUCAAUACCAAUAAAAUUUAGUAUUCAUUAUGAUAUCCACUAUUAAUUUAAGUGAAAAAAAAUGUUAUAUGGCAACAACUAUACUUUACAAAUCAUUGAUCCAAUGAAAGACACAUUUGACAUUUUACAUUCGGUCAGGGUAAAAAAAAAAUUAUAUGACCAAUGGUCCAGAAUAUGGUUAAUGUCUUAGAGAUAUAUAAGAGUAAAUUACCAAUGAAAUCACCAUAGAUGCCAGGAUUGAAAUUUAAUAUUUACGCCAGAAGCGCGUUUCAUCUACAAAAGACUCAUCAAUGACGCUCGAAUCAAUCCGCAGUUGCGGAUGUCACUUUAUAUUGGUUAUUAGCGUAUGUUAUAGGGGUAACAUGACGGGUGUCCCAUGUAGAGCAUGAUAAGCGUACCAUGCCUGAACACUUGAGAUCACCCCAAGUGUGGUGAAACUCAUAUUGCUCGGUCCUUAGUUUUCUGUGUUGCGGUUUUGUAAAACACCCUCAAUAUUCAGUCUAUUCACCCAUAUUCACAGUUCUGUGAUCAAUUGAUUAAAAGUAAAAGUUUAUCUAUUAUUCGUCUUCCAUCAUAGGUCAAAACAAGUUGUGUUGGUAUUUUUUAUCUAUGUAAAUGAUUCUAUUUCCCUGCAGAUUCAAUUUCAUUUUGAUCCAUUAAUAAAGUUUAAGUAUUUCACAUAACCUAAAACUAUUAAAUAUGGUUUGCUUUCCAAACAUUACUAUUUAGC